UGAUUUCCCUCCUGCUGAUUUACAGUCCCUGUCCCGUUCUCUGUCGGCACUUGGAUAUCAUUCCCGCUUUGAAAAAACUUACUCCUUUGACAAAUAUAUACAAAACAGAAAGCUAAUGGGGUGACUAAUCUAUUUGAAGAACCUUCUACAUCCUUUUGUGAUCGAUGAUUCCUACUUGGCUUGACACAUGUACAUUUGGCACCUUUUCCUUGACAAGUAAACCAAGAUUGUGUGGUUUUCGUCGUGGCCUAUGGUGUAGAAGCGGAGAAUGAGGAAGAAAAUAAUUUGAAGAUUUGCAGAGAGAAGGGAUUGGAUUUCACCCUGUCGUGGAGUCAGUCCAUUGGGAUAAACCAAGUCACUAAUACCAGGCAGAGGAAGUGACCGAAUUUUAUAUUUUGUGUCAGACACAACCUCAAAACAAAGAGGAACCACUCCAAGGACCUGGCCAGAUGCAAGCCUGGGUUUAAAAUGCAGUGAAACCGUUUGCUCAUCACAAACUUGCAACUGGGGUGCAAGGUACCAGCAAGCUGAAUUCACUGCCGGCAGAGCAUGCGGCUGACUCCAGGGGCUGGACCUCCCCGGGGGAUGAAAAUGGAAAAGCGCACGCAGCUCGAUACACUUUUUAAGCAGGAAAAUGCUUCCAAAGGAAGAGACGGUAAAAGCACAUGAAAUGAAUCUUCGUCUGAGAGAACAGCCUCCAAGUAAUUAAAAGCCGAUUGUCUCCUCCUGGGCCCUUUAGUUUCUGGUUUCUGCCUGAGGACUUUAAGGGAUGAAUGGAUAAAGAAGAUGUGGCACAUAUAUACAAUGGAAUAUUACUCAGCCAUAAAAAGAAACGAAAUUGAGCUAUUUGUAAU
Aethalodelphis obliquidens (Pacific white-sided dolphin) is the source of this 854-nucleotide long non-coding RNA. RefSeq lists it as uncharacterized. NCBI's taxonomy places the organism in Eukaryota, Metazoa, Chordata, Mammalia, Artiodactyla, Delphinidae. The transcript is spliced from 3 exons. The record is from RefSeq and is a predicted model, not a curated record.